This 495-nucleotide ribosomal RNA is filed under the name uncultured bacterium. RNAcentral's name for it is "bacterial SSU rRNA". It matches the Rfam family "Bacterial small subunit ribosomal RNA", at positions 899 to 1397 of the family's 1533-position model. The record is from RNAcentral.
ACUCAAAUGAAUUGACGGGGGCCCGCACAAGCGGUGGAGCAUGUGGUUUAAUUCGAAGCAACGCGAAGAACCUUACCAGGUCUUGACAUCCCUUGACAGCCACAGAGAUGUGGUCUCUCUUCGGAGCAAGGAGACAGGUGGUGCAUGGUUGUCGUCAGCUCGUGUCGUGAGAUGUUGGGUUAAGUCCCGCAACGAGCGCAACCCUUGCCUUUAGUUGCCAGCAUUAAGUUGGGCACUCUAAAGGGACUGCCGGUGACAAAUCGGAGGAAGGUGGGGAUGACGUCAAAUCAUCAUGCCCCUUAUGACCUGGGCUACACACGUGCUACAAUGGUCUGUACAGAGGGCAGCGAAGCAGUGAUGCGGAGCGAAUCCCAGAAAGCAGAUCUCAGUUCGGAUUGCAGGCUGCAACUCGCCUGCAUGAAGUCGGAAUCGCUAGUAAUCGCAGGUCAGCAUACUGCGGUGAAUACGUUCCCGGGCCUUGUACACACCGCCCGU